This 431-nucleotide ribosomal RNA is filed under the name uncultured bacterium. Its description in RNAcentral is "bacterial SSU rRNA". It matches the Rfam family "Bacterial small subunit ribosomal RNA", at positions 97 to 520 of the family's 1533-position model. The record is from RNAcentral.
GGCGAACGGGUGCGUAACACGUGAGCGACCUGCCCUACCUGCGGGGGAUAGCCGGCCUAACGGCCGGGUAAUACCGCAUACGUUUCCCCGGGGGCAUACCCGGGGGAGGAAAGCCGGGGCGACCCGGCGCGGGAGGAGGGGCUCGCGGCCUAUCAGCUAGAUGGUGUGGUAACGGCGCACCAUGGCGACGACGGGUAGCUGGUCUGAGAGGAUGGCCAGCCACAUUGGGACUGAGAGACGGCCCAGACUCCUACGGGAGGCAGCAGUGGGGAAUCUUGCGCAAUGGCCGGAAGGCUGACGCAGCGACGCCGCGUGUAGGAGGACGCCCCUCGGGGUGUAAACUACUGUUGCCCGGGACGAACCGGGGGUUUCGACCCCCCUGACGGUACCGGGUGAGGAAGCACCGGCUAACUACGUGCCAGCCGCCGCGG